CCUUCGAAGGAAUUCCUGGAGGAAUCUUCGAAGGAAUUCCUGGAGGAACUUCUGAAGGAAUUCCUGGAGGAACUUCCGAAGGAAUUCCUAGAGGAACUUCCGAAAGAAUUCCUGAAGGAACUUCCGGAGGAAUUCCUGGAGGAACUUCUGAAGGAAUUCGUGGAGGAACUUCUGAAGGAAUUCGUGGAGGAACUUCCAAAGGAAUUCCUGGAGGAGCUUCUGAAGGAAUUCCCGGAGUAACCUUUCGGAUGAUUUGGAGACUCUAGAACAUCUGCGUUGGGCUUAUUUGAAUGAUGAAGCAUUCACAAGAGCUCUAAAGACUUAUAUGGACAUGCUGGGUUGCUAUCGGUUUAAUGUCAGUCGUAGUUGACCUGGUAGAUCAAUUGAAAUCAACUCCCGGACAAUUUAGGGACCCUAGAACAUCUGCGUUGGACUAAUUUGACUGGAUAUUAUUGGAUAUUAUUUGAAUUUUUUUAGAGAAUUAUUCCAGAUAUUUCGAAAGAGUUCUUCCAAUAAUCCCUGGAAGAUUCCUCCAGGUACUCAGAGAGAUACCCCUCUUACAUUUCGUGUGGAACCCUCCAAGAAUCUCUAGAUAAUUUCUUCAGGAAAACCGUGUGCCUUCAUGGCUUCCGAGAGAUUGCCACAACAAAUUUCGAGAGAAUUUCUCUAAUAAUGUAAAGAGAAUUCCUAAACGAUUUUCGUGAGCAUUCCUGCAGAAAUUCUGAUAGAAUUCCUUCUGAUAUUUUCAAAAAAUUAUUUCAGAUACUCUGAAAUAAUUCCAAGCAUCUCGAGAGAAUGCGUACAGGAAUUUAGUGAAAAUUUCUCCGGAAAUUCCGGAAUUCUGAAUUCGGAAUUCUCACGAUUUCCGAAGAAAUUCUCCUAGAACUCUUGAAUGAAUCCUCAAAGGAUACCAGAAGGAUUCGUCCCAGUUAUCACAAAGAUAUCCUUCCAGAAAUUUUGAAAGAAUUUAUUAAUUAAUCUAAAAAAACAAUAACUAGUUUCCACUUUGAAUUAUUUAUUAUCAGAAAUCGUUACUGAAUUUAAAAAAAAAACCUUCAUGGAAUUCAGUAGGAAAUCCCUUAUGAAAAAAAAAGGAUUCUCUCUCGAAUUUAGUAUGGAUCCCAAAAGGAUUCUAGAAACAAAACCGAAAGGACUAGCCUUAUUUGAUAGAGUUUUUCAGUGGCCGUGAAUUCUUUUAGUGACCGUAGAUAUUUAGUUUUAAUUUUCAUAACGAAUUGAAUCAAUAUAUACACCUAGGAUUAUUUUUAUUUAGGUUUUGCCAGUCUUGUCAAUCUCAUCGUCUCAAAUCAUCAUCGGAGAACUAGGCAUUCCGAAAAGAUGGAUCUUAUGAACCAAAUGGAUCAGGGCUGGAUUACGGUUCUGCUAUCACCUUCUACUACGCUGUAAGCCGAUCCCAAGCCCAAGCACACGAGGUUACCAUGGAGCAUAUCACGGCGGAUUAUGUGAUCAAUUAUGACCUACCCUAUCUUAAGUUAUUGCUAGAGGAAUUCGAGGACGCCAAACAAAUUUCAUAUUAAUCUUAGUAUCAAGGGCAUUAGAUUUCGACCCGAGGUUAUAGAGCUUAAUGAGAAAUUUAACCUCCGAGAAACAAUUGACGGAGGUGAUCGAGGUUCGUCUAGAGGAGCAAGUUGCUCAACUUUGAUAAUAAAAUGACCCCCAUUCCGUUCACGCAGGAUCCCCGCAUCAACAGAGCUAUGUGCUGAAAAGAAGCUAACUGGAAAGCUGUCCUUUCCACAGCAUGAAAGGAUUCAGAAUGGAAUCUAAAAUUGAUUCCACAAUAUGUGAUUUCGAAUGAGUAACGAAUGGAAUGACGAGUAUACCAAAUGGAAUUCUUACAGGAUUCCAUUCGUAAGCCAAUCGGUAUUCUAUUCUGAAUCUAUAUGUUUUUUCGCAAUUCUUCCGAGAUUUCAGUCGAAAUAUUUUUGGUACUCCAUUCAGAAUCCUUGCGGGAUUCCAAUCGCAAUUCUUCAGGGAUUAAAUUCAAAAUUCUUUAGGGGUUCUAUACAUAAUUUAAUUACAUAUCUUAUUAAUUUCCAUUCGCAUUCUACACAAUCAUUCCACGGAAUUCCAUUCAUAAUCCGUUCGGAGUUCUACACUUUGAGCACUUUUGUGGAAUUUUGAAAGUAUUUCUAAUGAUAUCCCGCAAUGAUUUCGAAUAGAAUACCAAGGGAAAUCCAUAAAGAAUUCCGAAUAGAAUCCCAAAAAUGGUUUCGAACGGAAUUCCAAAAGAAUUUCGGAUUUUAUCCCCACAGAAUUACCAACGGAAUUCCAAAUAAAAUACCGAACGACGAAAGGUUUCCUAAGGGAUUCGGAAAAAUAACUCGAGUGGAUUCCACAUGUGAUUCUAAAAUUAAUUCGAAUCGAACCCGGGAAGAAUUCCGAGUGGAAUCCAUUCGAGUUCUCAUUCAGAAUCUUUCCGUGAUUUCUUUCGAAGUUUCGUGGGAAUUCUAUUCGUACUCCUUUGGGGAGAAAAUUCGAAAUUCUUUUGGUAUUUGAUUCGAAAUAAUCGUGGGAUUUCAUUUGGAAUCAUUUUGAAAUUUCAUAGUGUGCUAUAGGGAAGUAUGGAGGCAAGAAAGAAGAAUGGAAUCCCACAAGGAUUACGAAUAAAAUCUCAAGAGGAUUCUGAUUGACUGAUGAAGCAGAUGAAAUAGCGAAAAGGUUUGGAAUGGAAUACCAAAAAGGUUACGAAUGAAAUUACGAAAGGAUAGCGAAUGGCAUCACGUGAGGUUUGUGAAUUGAACCCCAAGAUUAACCUUUUCGAUUUGGUAUUAAGAUUUCAUUAGCUAUCCUUUCGCAACUUAUUUUUAAAGAAAUCGGAACCUUUCAGAAUUCUAUUUCUCAUCCUUUGAGAAGUUUAUUCUCAAUACUUUAAGGAUCAACUUCGAAUUUACUGGUGAUUCCUUUCAAAACCAUUCUUGGGAAUCUGUUUGGAAUCCCCUAAAGAUUGUGUAGGGAUUCUAUCCGGAAACCUUUCGAGAUUCCACAAACAGUGCUUCAGCUUUUCGGUCUGAUUUUGUUUCAGGAUUUUAUUUGGAAUAAUUUCGAUGUUCCAAUUGAAUUUUUGUGAAUCCAUGCGCUUCCUGGAACUCCUUUCGGUAUACUUUCAGGAUUUCUUUCGGGAAUCCCGGGAAGGAUUUCGAAACGAACUCUCAAUGAAUUGAUGGAUUGUUCAAAUGCUAUUUGGAAAUAAUUAAUUAUUCCUAUUGAAAUCCUUAGGGAAUUUCCAAUAAUUUAUAGAAUCUUAACAUAUCUAAAUUCCAAUGCCCCUGCUGCCCCUACUCGAUUCCAUGGAGUUGGUAUAUAAUUCUCACAAUCUUUACCCAAUUUACGGGCGCAUUCCCGAGUAGAACUUGACUUGCUACUG
Molecule: long non-coding RNA, 3385 nt
Organism: Armigeres subalbatus
Lineage: Eukaryota; Metazoa; Arthropoda; Insecta; Diptera; Culicidae
Exons: 3
Source: RefSeq, a predicted model, not a curated record